Molecule: ribosomal RNA, 405 nt
Filed under: uncultured bacterium
Lineage: Bacteria
Description: partial 16S ribosomal RNA
Rfam family: Bacterial small subunit ribosomal RNA
Source: RNAcentral
GACGAACGCUGGCGGCGUGCUUAACACAUGCAAGUCGAGCGGAGCGGCGAACGGGCGAGUAACGCGUGAGUAACUGCCCCCCUCCCUGGGAUAAAAGUUGGAAACGGCUGCUAAUACCGGAUAGUGGGGGAUGACUCGCGUCCUAUCGGCUUGUUGGUGGGGUAGUGGCCUACCAAGGCGACGACGGGUAGCCGGCCUGGGAGGGCGACCGGCCACAAUGGGCUGAGAUACGGCCCAGACGCCUACGGGGGGCAGCAGUGGGGAGUAUUGCGCAAUGGGGGAGACCCUGAUGCGGCGACGCCGCGUGCGGGAUGACGGCCUUCGGGUUGUAAACCGCUUUCAGCCAUGACGCGGUAGUGGCAGAAGAAGCACCGGCUAACUACGUGCCAGCCGCCGCGGUAAUUC